This 68-nucleotide transfer RNA is filed under the name Gonopsis coccinea. RNAcentral's name for it is "tRNA-Asp". It matches the Rfam family "tRNA". Rfam says of the family: Transfer RNA (tRNA) molecules are approximately 80 nucleotides in length. Their secondary structure includes four short double-helical elements and three loops (D, anti-codon, and T loops). The record is from RNAcentral. Lineage: Eukaryota; Metazoa; Arthropoda; Insecta; Hemiptera; Pentatomidae.
AAAGAUUUAGUUUAAAAUUAAAACAUUAAUUUGUCAAAUUAAAAAAGUCCAUAAAUGAACAAUCUUUA